CGUGGGACGUACCUUUCGCUACGGAAUAGCUCUUGGAAACGAGUGGUAAUACCGUAUACGCCCUCCGGGGGAAAGAUUUAUCGGCGAAAGAUCGGCCCGCGUUAGAUUAGUUUGUUGGUGGGGUAAUGGCCUACCAAGACUACGAUCUAUAGCUGGUCUGAGAGGAUGAUCAGCCACACUGGGACUGAGACACGGCCCAGACUCCUACGGGAGGCAGCAGUGGGGAAUCUUGCACAAUGGGCGAAAGCCUGAUGCAGCCAUGCCGCGUGAAUGAUGAAGGCCUUAGGGUUGUAAAAUUCUUUCGCUAGGGAUGAUAAUGACAGUACCUAGUAAAGAAGCCCCGGCUAACUUCGUGCCAGCAGCCGCGGUAAUACGAAGGGGGCUAGCGUUGUUCGGAAUUACUGGGCGUAAAGCGCACGUAGGCGGACUUUUAAGUCAGAUGUGAAAUCCCGGGGCUCAACCUCGGAACUGCAUUUGAAACUGGAAGUCUGGAGUUCAGGAGAGGUUAGCGGAAUACCGAGUGUAGAGGUGAAAUUCGUAGAUAUUCGGUGGAACACCAGUGGCGAAGGCGGCUAACUGGACUGAUACUGACGCUGAGGUGCGAAAGUGUGGGGAGCAAACAGGAUUAGAUACCCUGGUAGUCCACACCGUAAACGAUGACAGCUAGUUGUUGGCAGGCAUGCCUGUCGGUGACGCAGCUAACGCAUUAAGCUGUCCGCCUGGGGAGUACGGCCGCAAGGUUAAAACUCAAAGAAAUUGACGGGGGCCCGCACA
This 774-nucleotide ribosomal RNA is filed under the name uncultured Alteromonadaceae bacterium. Its description in RNAcentral is "bacterial SSU rRNA". It matches the Rfam family "Bacterial small subunit ribosomal RNA", at positions 116 to 927 of the family's 1533-position model. Lineage: Bacteria; Pseudomonadati; Pseudomonadota; Gammaproteobacteria; Alteromonadales; Alteromonadaceae. The record is from RNAcentral.